Molecule: ribosomal RNA, 1358 nt
Filed under: uncultured bacterium
Lineage: Bacteria
Description: bacterial SSU rRNA
Rfam family: Bacterial small subunit ribosomal RNA
Source: RNAcentral
AUUGAACGCUGGCGGCAGGCCUAACACAUGCAAGUCGAGCGGUAGAGAGAAGCUUGCUUCUCUUGAGAGCGGCGGACGGGUGAGUAAUGCCUAGGAAUCUGCCUGGUAGUGGGGGAUAACGUUCGGAAACGGACGCUAAUACCGCAUACGUCCUACGGGAGAAAGCAGGGGACCUUCGGGCCUUGCGCUAUCAGAUGAGCCUAGGUCGGAUUAGCUAGUUGGUGAGGUAAUGGCUCACCAAGGCGACGAUCCGUAACUGGUCUGAGAGGAUGAUCAGUCACACUGGAACUGAGACACGGUCCAGACUCCUACGGGAGGCAGCAGUGGGGAAUAUUGGACAAUGGGCGAAAGCCUGAUCCAGCCAUGCCGCGUGUGUGAAGAAGGUCUUCGGAUUGUAAAGCACUUUAAGUUGGGAGGAAGGGUUGUAGAUUAAUACUCUGCAAUUUUGACGUUACCGACAGAAUAAGCACCGGCUAACUCUGUGCCAGCAGCCGCGGUAAUACAGAGGGUGCAAGCGUUAAUCGGAAUUACUGGGCGUAAAGCGCGCGUAGGUGGUUUGUUAAGUUGGAUGUGAAAUCCCCGGGCUCAACCUGGGAACUGCAUUCAAAACUGACUGACUAGAGUAUGGUAGAGGGUGGUGGAAUUUCCUGUGUAGCGGUGAAAUGCGUAGAUAUAGGAAGGAACACCAGUGGCGAAGGCGACCACCUGGACUAAUACUGACACUGAGGUGCGAAAGCGUGGGGAGCAAACAGGAUUAGAUACCCUGGUAGUCCACGCCGUAAACGAUGUCAACUAGCCGUUGGAAGCCUUGAGCUUUUAGUGGCGCAGCUAACGCAUUAAGUUGACCGCCUGGGGAGUACGGCCGCAAGGUUAAAACUCAAAUGAAUUGACGGGGGCCCGCACAAGCGGUGGAGCAUGUGGUUUAAUUCGAAGCAACGCGAAGAACCUUACCAGGCCUUGACAUCCAAUGAACUUUCUAGAGAUAGAUUGGUGCCUUCGGGAACAUUGAGACAGGUGCUGCAUGGCUGUCGUCAGCUCGUGUCGUGAGAUGUUGGGUUAAGUCCCGUAACGAGCGCAACCCUUGUCCUUAGUUACCAGCACGUCAUGGUGGGCACUCUAAGGAGACUGCCGGUGACAAACCGGAGGAAGGUGGGGAUGGCGUCAAGUCAUCAUGGCCCUUACGGCCUGGGCUACACACGUGCUACAAUGGUCGGUACAGAGGGUUGCCAAGCCGCGAGGUGGAGCUAAUCCCAUAAAACCGAUCGUAGUCCGGAUCGCAGUCUGCAACUCGACUGCGUGAAGUCGGAAUCGCUAGUAAUCGCGAAUCAGAAUGUCGCGGUGAAUACGUUCCCGGGCCU